Molecule: ribosomal RNA, 2904 nt
Filed under: Escherichia coli
Lineage: Bacteria; Pseudomonadati; Pseudomonadota; Gammaproteobacteria; Enterobacterales; Enterobacteriaceae
Description: 23S ribosomal RNA
Rfam family: Bacterial large subunit ribosomal RNA
Source: RNAcentral
GGUUAAGCGACUAAGCGUACACGGUGGAUGCCCUGGCAGUCAGAGGCGAUGAAGGACGUGCUAAUCUGCGAUAAGCGUCGGUAAGGUGAUAUGAACCGUUAUAACCGGCGAUUUCCGAAUGGGGAAACCCAGUGUGUUUCGACACACUAUCAUUAACUGAAUCCAUAGGUUAAUGAGGCGAACCGGGGGAACUGAAACAUCUAAGUACCCCGAGGAAAAGAAAUCAACCGAGAUUCCCCCAGUAGCGGCGAGCGAACGGGGAGCAGCCCAGAGCCUGAAUCAGUGUGUGUGUUAGUGGAAGCGUCUGGAAAGGCGUGCGAUACAGGGUGACAGCCCCGUACACAAAAAUGCACAUACUGUGAGCUCGAUGAGUAGGGCGGGACACGUGGUAUCCUGUCUGAAUAUGGGGGGACCAUCCUCCAAGGCUAAAUACUCCUGACUGACCGAUAGUGAACCAGUACCGUGAGGGAAAGGCGAAAAGAACCCCGGCGAGGGGAGUGAAAAAGAACCUGAAACCGUGUACGUACAAGCAGUGGGAGCACGCUUAGGCGUGUGACUGCGUACCUUUUGUAUAAUGGGUCAGCGACUUAUAUUCUGUAGCAAGGUUAACCGAAUAGGGGAGCCGAAGGGAAACCGAGUCUUAACUGGGCGUUAAGUUGCAGGGUAUAGACCCGAAACCCGGUGAUCUAGCCAUGGGCAGGUUGAAGGUUGGGUAACACUAACUGGAGGACCGAACCGACUAAUGUUGAAAAAUUAGCGGAUGACUUGUGGCUGGGGGUGAAAGGCCAAUCAAACCGGGAGAUAGCUGGUUCUCCCCGAAAGCUAUUUAGGUAGCGCCUCGUGAAUUCAUCUCCGGGGGUAGAGCACUGUUUCGGCAAGGGGGUCAUCCCGACUUACCAACCCGAUGCAAACUGCGAAUACCGGAGAAUGUUAUCACGGGAGACACACGGCGGGUGCUAACGUCCGUCGUGAAGAGGGAAACAACCCAGACCGCCAGCUAAGGUCCCAAAGUCAUGGUUAAGUGGGAAACGAUGUGGGAAGGCCCAGACAGCCAGGAUGUUGGCUUAGAAGCAGCCAUCAUUUAAAGAAAGCGUAAUAGCUCACUGGUCGAGUCGGCCUGCGCGGAAGAUGUAACGGGGCUAAACCAUGCACCGAAGCUGCGGCAGCGACGCUUAUGCGUUGUUGGGUAGGGGAGCGUUCUGUAAGCCUGCGAAGGUGUGCUGUGAGGCAUGCUGGAGGUAUCAGAAGUGCGAAUGCUGACAUAAGUAACGAUAAAGCGGGUGAAAAGCCCGCUCGCCGGAAGACCAAGGGUUCCUGUCCAACGUUAAUCGGGGCAGGGUGAGUCGACCCCUAAGGCGAGGCCGAAAGGCGUAGUCGAUGGGAAACAGGUUAAUAUUCCUGUACUUGGUGUUACUGCGAAGGGGGGACGGAGAAGGCUAUGUUGGCCGGGCGACGGUUGUCCCGGUUUAAGCGUGUAGGCUGGUUUUCCAGGCAAAUCCGGAAAAUCAAGGCUGAGGCGUGAUGACGAGGCACUACGGUGCUGAAGCAACAAAUGCCCUGCUUCCAGGAAAAGCCUCUAAGCAUCAGGUAACAUCAAAUCGUACCCCAAACCGACACAGGUGGUCAGGUAGAGAAUACCAAGGCGCUUGAGAGAACUCGGGUGAAGGAACUAGGCAAAAUGGUGCCGUAACUUCGGGAGAAGGCACGCUGAUAUGUAGGUGAAGUCCCUCGCGGAUGGAGCUGAAAUCAGUCGAAGAUACCAGCUGGCUGCAACUGUUUAUUAAAAACACAGCACUGUGCAAACACGAAAGUGGACGUAUACGGUGUGACGCCUGCCCGGUGCCGGAAGGUUAAUUGAUGGGGUCAGCGCAAGCGAAGCUCUUGAUCGAAGCCCCGGUAAACGGCGGCCGUAACUAUAACGGUCCUAAGGUAGCGAAAUUCCUUGUCGGGUAAGUUCCGACCUGCACGAAUGGCGUAAUGAUGGCCAGGCUGUCUCCACCCGAGACUCAGUGAAAUUGAACUCGCUGUGAAGAUGCAGUGUACCCGCGGCAAGACGGAAAGACCCCGUGAACCUUUACUAUAGCUUGACACUGAACAUUGAGCCUUGAUGUGUAGGAUAGGUGGGAGGCUUUGAAGUGUGGACGCCAGUCUGCAUGGAGCCGGCCUUGAAAUACCACCCUUUAAUGUUUGAUGUUCUAACGUUGACCCGUAAUCCGGGUUGCGGACAGUGUCUGGUGGGUAGUUUGACUGGGGCGGUCUCCUCCUAAAGAGUAACGGAGGAGCACGAAGGUUGGCUAAUCCUGGUCGGACAUCAGGAGGUUAGUGCAAUGGCAUAAGCCAGCUUGACUGCGAGCGUGACGGCGCGAGCAGGUGCGAAAGCAGGUCAUAGUGAUCCGGUGGUUCUGAAUGGAAGGGCCAUCGCUCAACGGAUAAAAGGUACUCCGGGGAUAACAGGCUGAUACCGCCCAAGAGUUCAUAUCGACGGCGGUGUUUGGCACCUCGAUGUCGGCUCAUCACAUCCUGGGGCUGAAGUAGGUCCCAAGGGUAUGGCUGUUCGCCAUUUAAAGUGGUACGCGAGCUGGGUUUAGAACGUCGUGAGACAGUUCGGUCCCUAUCUGCCGUGGGCGCUGGAGAACUGAGGGGGGCUGCUCCUAGUACGAGAGGACCGGAGUGGACGCAUCACUGGUGUUCGGGUUGUCAUGCCAAUGGCACUGCCCGGUAGCUAAAUGCGGAAGAGAUAAGUGCUGAAAGCAUCUAAGCACGAAACUUGCCCCGAGAUGAGUUCUCCCUGACUCCUUGAGAGUCCUGAAGGAACGUUGAAGACGACGACGUUGAUAGGCCGGGUGUGUAAGCGCAGCGAUGCGUUGAGCUAACCGGUACUAAUGAACCGUGAGGCUUAACCUU